Molecule: ribosomal RNA, 255 nt
Filed under: uncultured bacterium
Lineage: Bacteria
Description: partial 16S ribosomal RNA
Rfam family: Bacterial small subunit ribosomal RNA
Source: RNAcentral
UACAGAGGUCCCGAGCGUUGUUCGGAUUCACUGGGCGUAAAGGGUGCGUAGGUGGCUUGACAAGUUUGAUGUGAAAUCUCCGGGCUUAACCCGGAAAAUGCAUUGAAUACUGUAGAGGCUUGAGGUUUGGAGGGGGGACUGGAAUUCUCGGUGUAGCAGUGAAAUGCGUAGAUAUCGAGAGGAACACCAGUGGCGAAGGCGAGUCCCUGGACAACACCUGACACUGAGGCACGAAAGCCGGGGGGAGCAAACAGG